GUAUCAACUCUUACUAAGUCCUCAACUACAACUAACUACAUAAAUCACAGUAUACAUCACAUCAAAACAAAUGAAAUACCGUAUACAAAAAGGUGGUAGUCAGUCGGUCAGUCAGACAAUCCAAUCCGCCAAUAGACCUCCAGCAGAGAAAGGCCACGAAGAACGGAGAGGUGUAGUCCACGGACGCAAAGAGUGGAUCCGAUCCUGGGUAAACUCUAUUAGGCAACAAAACAAACGGAAAAACAAAGAGAAGCUUCGGAACUGAGGGUUGAACACGUCUCCAUCACAACCCCACUUUUGCGCAGCUGAUGCUGGCUAUUUAAUUGGGAAUUAAAGGGAAAGCGCCCUAUUGGAAGGAGCUGCACUGAGACGGUUCAGAAUAAUUCAGGGCCGUCACAACACACACACACAGACACACACACACAGACACACACACACACACACACACACAUACACACACACACAGACACACACACACAGACACACACAGACACAUGGCUAACUACGUGUCUGUAUCUCCUCCUUGUGGACAUUGAUGACACUCCACUGUCCUGUGAAAUGGGAGCACCUGGUAUAUGGCACGUACUGUACACUAUCUCCAUGACAGCCUGCAGUGCUGAGCAUCCCCACCUUGUGGCAGAGCACUGAAAUGGUUCAGUCCAUAGGUUAAAGCAUCCUGGUCCUGGGGGACCCGAAUGGGUGCACAUUUUAGUUUUUGCCCUAGCACUACACACGUGAUUCAAAUCAGCAAAGCCUUUUGAUGAGUUGAUGAUUUGAAUCAACUGUGUAGUGCUAGGGCAAAAACUAAAAUGUGCACCCCUUCGGGUCCCCCAGGACCAGGGUUGAGAACCAGUGGGUUAGAGAGACCGGGUAGUGUAGUGAUUAAAUGGUUCAGUCCGUAGGUUAGAGAGACUGGGUCUGAGUAGUAAUUAAAUGGUUCAGUCCGCAGGUUAGAGAGACUGGUUAGUGUAGUGAUUAAAUGGUUCAGUCCGUAGGUUAGAGAGACUGGGUAGUGUAGUGAUUAAAUGGUUCAGUCCGUAGGUUAGAGAGACUGGGUCUGAGUAGUGAUUAAAUGGUUCAGUCCGUAGGUUAGAGAGACUGGGUAGUGUAGUGAUUAAAUGGUUCAGUCCGUAGGUUAGAGAGACUGGGUCUGAGUAGUGAUUAAAUGGUUCAGUCCGUAGGUUAGAGAGACUGGGUCUGAGUAGUGAUUAAAU
This is a long non-coding RNA of Oncorhynchus tshawytscha (Chinook salmon), 1214 nucleotides long. NCBI's taxonomy places the organism in Eukaryota, Metazoa, Chordata, Actinopteri, Salmoniformes, Salmonidae. The record is from Ensembl.